GAAAUUAGGCUUGUCACUUUUGAAGGAGCCAUAUUAAGAAUUUUUGAAAAGGGUUAAGCCAGUGGCUCAUCAAAGCAGAAAACAGAGCGGAGAGUGGGGACCCAGUCACCCGGGGUCCCCGGGGUCCAGCUCUGAAUUGCAAAUGUCCUUCUCGAGUCCCUCUGGCGGAGUUGGUGGGUGGCCUGACAAUGCCACGUCAUUAUCGACAGUUGGAAUCUUCUUG
This 223-nucleotide long non-coding RNA is filed under the name Vitis vinifera (wine grape). Its description in RNAcentral is "long non-coding RNA (VVIN_LNC000175)". The record is from RNAcentral. Lineage: Eukaryota; Viridiplantae; Streptophyta; Magnoliopsida; Vitales; Vitaceae.